GGGUUGUGAGGUUAAGCGACUAAGCGUACACGGUGGAUGCCCUGGCAGUCAGAGGCGAUGAAGGGCGUGCUAAUCUGCGAUAAGCGCCGGUAAGGUGAUAUGAACCGUUAUAACCGGCGAUACCCGAAUGGGGAAACCCAGUGUGACUCGUCACACUAUCAUUAACUGAAUCCAUAGGUUAAUGAGGCGAACCGGGGGAACUGAAACAUCUAAGUACCCCGAGGAAAAGAAAUCAACCGAGAUUCCCCCAGUAGCGGCGAGCGAACGGGGAGGAGCCCAGAGCCUGAAUCAGCAUGUGUGUUAGUGGAAGCGUCUGGAAAGGCGCGCGAUACAGGGUGACAGCCCCGUACACAAAAGCGCAUGUGUUGUGAGCUCGAUGAGUAGGGCGGGACACGUGGUAUCCUGUCUGAAUAUGGGGGGACCAUCCUCCAAGGCUAAAUACUCCUGACUGACCGAUAGUGAACCAGUACCGUGAGGGAAAGGCGAAAAGAACCCCGGCGAGGGGAGUGAAAAAGAACCUGAAACCGUGUACGUACAAGCAGUGGGAGCACAGGUUUACCUGUGUGACUGCGUACCUUUUGUAUAAUGGGUCAGCGACUUAUAUUCUGUAGCAAGGUUAACCGAAUAGGGGAGCCGGAGGGAAACCGAGUCUUAAU
This 656-nucleotide ribosomal RNA is filed under the name Salmonella enterica. RNAcentral's name for it is "partial 23S ribosomal RNA". It matches the Rfam family "Bacterial large subunit ribosomal RNA", at positions 1 to 688 of the family's 2925-position model. Lineage: Bacteria; Pseudomonadati; Pseudomonadota; Gammaproteobacteria; Enterobacterales; Enterobacteriaceae. The record is from RNAcentral.